Molecule: long non-coding RNA, 659 nt
Organism: Corvus hawaiiensis (hawaiian crow)
Lineage: Eukaryota; Metazoa; Chordata; Aves; Passeriformes; Corvidae
Exons: 2
Source: RefSeq, a predicted model, not a curated record
GGCUCCAUCCGAGGUGUGGGGGGGAGGGGGCUGCCUGCCGGCAGUAAGGCGAGAAGGUGCCGCGUCUCCAUUUUGAAGAGGGGGAGAGUGGGAGUCGCAGCCCCCUCGGCGCGGCGGCCCCGCUGCCGUUCUCCCCACGCGGCGGGACACGGCUGCGGUGGAGCCGUGGCACUUUGCACGGAUUACACCGACAGGGCUUUUACUGUUCCAGGGACGCGACUGGAGAUAGAGCAGCGAGAGGUCUCCCAGGUCUGAAGACCUUCAGCAAAGGUCUGAAGGUGUUGAGCCAAGAAGCUGAGCGCGAAGGCAGCCGGGCCCUCUGCCUCACGCCACUUUGUGUACCGGUGUCCGAAAGGCGACCACGGUGCUGCUGUUGGUGUGCCGAGGGGCCUCGAAGGUACUACAGAAUGAUGAAAAAAAUAAAGCAUUUCAAGGAUGUAAAAAUGUCAUCUCUUGAGUGAACAACAGCUUUUACCUCCUCAUCUGAUUCCCACCCUACCAACUGUUUUCAAGAAUGGCUUUUAUGGUAUUUCCUGCAGCUACUUAAGUUUUCCUCAGUAUGGGAAGGUCAUGACUCAUGUGCUUACUCUCUAAAGUAAGGAAUAACAUCUCGGAAUUGUAAUAGUGGAUUGCUUUUGAAUAUAAAUGAAGGAGCCUAA